AUACGGUGCCAGUGCCGUGGUGUUCGGGAAGCCGGUUCGAUGCCGGCGCGGCCCUCGCCACUGUAACCGUCGAGUUGACGGCCCUUGCGGUGCUCACCCCUGAGAACGGGGAGGGCGCCGGACCACUGGGAGAAGUCCCGGGAAGGUCGGCCAGAGACGCUGAGACGGAAGCCAGGAGACCGGCCACGGCGCGUCAUGUUCC
Molecule: non-coding RNA, 202 nt
Filed under: Nocardioides sp.
Lineage: Bacteria; Bacillati; Actinomycetota; Actinomycetes; Propionibacteriales; Nocardioidaceae
Also listed under: 1 other name
Source: RNAcentral